Molecule: ribosomal RNA, 490 nt
Filed under: uncultured bacterium
Lineage: Bacteria
Description: partial 16S ribosomal RNA
Rfam family: Bacterial small subunit ribosomal RNA
Source: RNAcentral
AUUGAACGCUGGCGGCAGGCCUAACACAUGCAAGUCGAACGGUAACAGGGAUCAGCUUGCUGAUUCGCUGACGAGUGGCGGACGGGUGAGUAAUGUCUGGGAAACUGCCUGAUGGAGGGGGAUAACUACUGGAAACGGUAGCUAAUACCGCAUAACGUCGCAAGACCAAAGAGGGGGACCUUCGGGCCUCUUGCCAUCGGAUGUGCCCAGAUGGGAUUAGCUAGUAGGUGGGGUAACGGCUCACCUAGGCGACGAUCCCUAGCUGGUCUGAGAGGAUGACCAGCCACACUGGAACUGAGACACGGUCCAGACUCCUACGGGAGGCAGCAGUGGGGAAUAUUGCACAAUGGGCGCAAGCCUGAUGCAGCCAUGCCGCGUGUAUGAAGAAGGCCUUCGGGUUGUAAAGUACGUUCAGCGGGGAGGAAGGGAGUAAAGUGAAUACCUUUGCUCAUUGACGUUAACAGAAGAAGAAGCACCGGCUAACUCCGUG